UGAGGAAUAUUGGUCAAUGGGCGCGAGCCUGAACCAGCCAAGUCGCGUGAGGGAAGACGGUCCUAAGGAUUGUAAACCUCCUUUGUCGGGGAGCAAAAGGCAGUUAUGUGCCAAUUGAGAGUACCCGAAGAAAAGACAUCGGCUAACUCCGUGCCAGCAGCCGCGGUAAUACGGAGGAUGCGAGCGUUAUCCGGAUUUAUUGGGUUUAAAGGGUGCGUAGGCUGAAUGUCAAGUCAGCGGUAAAAUAGAGAGGCUUAACCUCUUCGAGCCGUUGAAACUGGUGUUCUAGAGUGGGCGAGAAGUAUGCGGAAUGCGUGGUGUAGCGGUGAAAUGCAUAGAUAUGACGCAGAACUCCGAUUGCGAAGGCAGCUUUCCAGCGCGCUACUGACGCUGAGGCACGAAAGCGUGGGGGAUCGAACA
Molecule: ribosomal RNA, 420 nt
Filed under: uncultured Barnesiella sp.
Lineage: Bacteria; Pseudomonadati; Bacteroidota; Bacteroidia; Bacteroidales; Barnesiellaceae
Description: bacterial SSU rRNA
Rfam family: Bacterial small subunit ribosomal RNA
Source: RNAcentral